This 439-nucleotide ribosomal RNA is filed under the name uncultured bacterium. RNAcentral describes it as "partial 16S ribosomal RNA". It matches the Rfam family "Bacterial small subunit ribosomal RNA", at positions 339 to 795 of the family's 1533-position model. The record is from RNAcentral.
CUACGGGUUGCUCCAGUGGGGAAUAUUGCACAAUGGACGAAAGUCUGAUGCAGCAAUACCGCGUGAUUGAAGAAGGCCUUAGGGUUGUAAAGAUCUUUUUUCAAGGAUGAUAGUGACAGUACUUGAAGAAUAAGGACCGGCUAACUUCGUGCCAGCACCCGCGGUAAUACGAGGGGUCCAAGCGUUACUCGGAUUUACUGGGCGUAAAGUGCGCGUAGGCUGAUUGAAAAGUCAAAAGUUAAAUCCCUGGGCUCAACCUAGGAAUCGCUUUUGAAACUUUCAUUCUAGAGUUUGGUAGAGAGAAGUGGAAUUCCUAGUGGAGGGGUAAAAUCCGUAGAUAUUAGGAGGAACACCGGAGGCGGAGGCGACUUCUUGGGCCAAUACUGACGCUGAGGCGCGAAGGCGUGGGGAGCAAACGGGAUUAGAUACCCUCGUAGUC